CCAGGCACCCCUGUCCUCCACUGCCUCCCGCAGUUUAGUCAAACUCAUGCUGGUAGCUUCGAGAACACUAUCCAACCAUCUCGUCCCUGUUGUCCCCUUCUCCUUGUGCCCUCCAUCUUUCCCAACAUCAGGGUCUUUUCCAGGGAGACUUCUCUUCUCAUGAGGUGGCCAAAGUAUUGGAGUCUCAGCUUCAGGAUCUGUCCUUCCAGUGAGCACUCAGGGCUG
Molecule: non-coding RNA, 225 nt
Organism: Podarcis lilfordi (Lilford's wall lizard)
Lineage: Eukaryota; Metazoa; Chordata; Lepidosauria; Squamata; Lacertidae
Source: the annotation of a GenBank genome assembly